CUUCCGUUCUGAGAUUUGAGAGGUUUAUCGUGGAAAGAGGGAGCACUAGUUUGCAGUGUUUAAGACACAAAAAGCAAAAUGGCCCGUGGACAACAGAAAAUACAGUCUCAACAGAAGAAUGCUGAAAAGCAGGCCAAACUAAAGAAGGGACAAGCUCAAGAUUCCAAGAAGGCUGCUGCUGCAGCGCUCGUAUACAAGUGUACUGUCUGUAUGUCACAGAUGCCCGACCCUAAGACAUACAGACAACAUUUUGAGAUGAAGCAUCCCAAGCAUCCUCUUCCAGAUUGUCUGAAGGAUGCGUAGUUGUAUUUAUCGGAUAUAAGAUGACUGAAUGCAAGUACCUGAUUCCAUUGUGGGAUGUGAAAGAUUUCUUUGAGUUCAAACAUACUUUUAUAUGUCAUCAAAAUAUGAUGUUUGGAACUGAACUAUUCAAUGGUAGCAGAAAAUAACAAGACGAAAUUCAUUUGACAAAUAGUGUGUGUGAUUAAUUAUUGAUAAAUCUUUGUGAAAACAGAAAGAAAUAAUAUGAAGAAAAUACAUCUACCAGCAACAAGAAUGUUUUUUUUAAACUGAAAUGAAAGUAUCUGAUCACACUUAUAUCAUUAAAAAGGGAAACAGUUUUAACUGAUCAGGACCAAAACAUGCAUUUUGCAUCAAAAUUAUCAACUCAAGAUUUCCAUUUUCUUUCUUUUUUAAAAAAAUUAUUUGAUGGUAUUGCAUUUUUUCCUAAGACGUUUGUUGUAUUGUGGUUUCUGGAUAACAUUUGACAAUACGAUAGGAUCUUUAAAGCAGCCAGGAUCUUUAAAGAAACGAGGAUCUUUAAAGAGACCAGGAUUUUUAAAGAGACCAGGAUUGUUAAAGAGACCAGGAUCUUUAAAGAGGCCAGGAUCUUUAAAAAGACCAGGAUUUUUAAAGAGACCAGGAUCUUUAAAGAAAACAGGAUCUUUAAAAAGACCAGGAUUUUUAAAGCAGCCAGGAUAUUUAAAGUGGUCAAUGUCCUUAAAGUGAUAAGGAUCUUUAAAGCGAUCAGCUGGAUGUGUAGAUUUUCAUGUAGAGCAAUAUUAUUCCUGAAUUCCUGUCCUUAAGUAAAAUGAAUGUAGACAUACAAAUUUAAGUGUCUAAUGAUCAGGCUUUCUAUAAUGUUAGAAACUUCACAUGUGUUCUAAUUGAAAUGCAUUUUCUACUAAUUAUGUAAAUCUACUUUAUUAUUGCAUGCAUACUCUUGUGUAAAAUGUUUUGUUGGAUUUUGUCAAAGGGUUUUAUUUCCUUAUGCUAGAUAUAGUAUUUUUACUUUGUUGACGUACAGUGUACAAGGUUGAAGUUCAAUCACACGUAUACAGAAAUGUAUAUUAAAACGUUCUUUCUCUGUAGUUUUAGUUCUAGUUGUCCCUUGACAUUUAAGGGAUAUGUAAACACACAAGUCAAAUUUUUGCUGAAUGUUUCAUAAUGUAAUAUUAACAAAUAUAAUGCAGAUGUUAUAUAAUUUAUGAUCACAUAAGAGAUGUUUUGUAAUGAAAAUUGGGGAAAACAAAAAUCCAGGAUGUUCAAAUUAUAGUAUAUCAUAAUUUUUCAGCUAUUAAACUUUUAAAAAAGUAAUGUUUGUUUGAUAAUGGGUGUGAUUGACAUGGUGUCCAAUUUAAAUCACAGAAUGUUUGAGAAAAGAUCUAUUCUUAAUUGUAAAUACAUCAUUUAGGUUGAGGUACACAUUAAACAGUGUUCGUCAAAUAAAUUAGUAGUGUAGUGUUUACUGACACAGGGACUUGGCAGAUGUAUUAUAUGUAGGUAUAUGGAUCAUUGUGUUGGAAAUUUGGACCAAGUCCCUGUGUUACAGGACAUUAAAUAUUGUUGUUAACAACGUUAACAUUUCUCAACUGUUUCGACCCAUCUUGGAUAUUUUCACAUUAACCUUGAACCAGUUGCUUUAUUACCAUCAUUGGAAUUUUUGGGUAAUUAUGGCCAUGUAUCUUUAUAUAUUUAUGCAAUGUCCAUAGAAUAUUUUUGUUAUUGGGUAAUGCUCCACAAUUUCAUUUAUACAGCGCAUGGCAAAAAGAAUCCAACAAGCAUAAGAAAUACCAAUUUCACAGCUUUUACACUGGUUUGGGAUGCCGGUUCAGUUGCCUCAUUUAAGGAAAAUUUUUGAAUGGCAAAUUGAGAAAAAAAAAUUCAAGAAAUAUUGGGAAUUUGGCUUAAAUAUGAAUUCAUUUCAGUUAGGAAUUAUACUUAUCAUCAGCCCCAAAAUGUCAACGGAAAAACAAGUAAACAUUUCCACAUACAUAUUCAUGAAUUCUUUAAUGAAAAUUUAACUGAAAGACUGCUGAUUGCAUCAUCAUUGCUUAGAUGUAUGGUAAUUGGGCUAAAUCAUUUAACCUAGAGUUGUAUCCAUCUGUUGUAUGCAUGUAUCUGUUGUAAUGUAAUGACUCAGAGGAGAGGACAUUGUGAAGUGUAGCUAUCUAACUAUGUUCAGUCGGGGAAGAAAAAAAUAAGUAUAUUUAAUUUUCCUGGUAAUCUAUAACUUUUUGUGAGUUUAUUCUUGAAGUAUUCAUGUACAGUCUUGUGUACAUACUUAUUUCAUUUGAUAAAUUUUGUUUUCUGUUUUAUUGAUAGAUAUAUAUCUGGGUAAAGAUUUUCUAAAAUCAAGUUUGUAGCAAUGGCAAGUUGAUAUAUGAUCCUGUGGAGAAGUCUGAUAUUUCAAUCAUAAUAUAUAUAAAUGCAUGUCAUAUAGGUGUGGUAUUAUGGUUGACAUCAAAGUGUUGUCAAGUUUUUGUUUAUAACACUAGAUUGACCUUGAAGGGUCAAGUUGUCUUUCUAGUGGUUGAUAUCAUUAGAGUGACCUUGAAGGGUCAAGCUGUCAAUUGAUAAAACUAGAGGAAUCUUUAAGGUUCAAGCUUUCCUUGUAGUAGUUGAUAACACUAGUGACCUUGAAGGGUCAAGUUGUCUUUCUAGUGAUUGAUAAAACUAGAGGAAUCUUUAAGGGUCAAGCUUUCCUUGUAGUAGUUGAUAACACUAGUGACCUUGAAGGGUCAAGUUGUCUUUGUAGUGAUUGAUAAAACUUUCUUUGUAGUACUUGAUAACACUAGAGGAUACUAUUAUAUGGAAUAGCUAAAUAUAGGGUAAAAGUUUGAUUCAAAAAGACUUUAUAGGACCUUUGAGCUAUUGCAAAACAAGAACUCAUUGCCAAGCAGGGGCUUAUUGCUUAGCAGGGACGUCUUAUUGGCGGAGCAGGGGCUUACUGUAAGUCGAUGGUAUAUUAAAGGUAAAUAACGGUGGAAAAUAGUUAUCCACAAACUUUGUCAUCCUGUAUUUGUAUAACUACUGACAUGAUUGUAUCUCCAAAUGACCAUUUUUCCAAAGAUAACUUUUCUGUUGAAUAUGUUGUAUCUAUUAUUAUUUCUAGUCUUGCCUUCAAUGUGGAGCAAAGAAACUUCAAUCUGUUGUUUUUUUCCCCCAGAAUUAACAUAGAUACUGAAUCUCUUGAAGGGGAUGGGUAAAAUAUUAUUAAUUAACUUCGAUCUUGGGAAGGAGAGGAGAGAGUAGACUAAUAUAUAUUGUAUGUUUCCUACCACUAACACAUUCCUUGGUCCACAAUACAAAAUAACUUGAUUACCUUAUUUGGCUAACAUAUACCAUUAAGUAUGUAUAUUAUAAAAAUUAAAUAUGGAUAAAGCCUCCACCUAUGCAGGUAUUUAUGCUUGUGAAUUUUCACAAAAAUCUUAUAUAAAUUUAUGUUGCCUGCUAAUAAUAAAUGCACAUUUCUUACCAAUGAACUGAUACGCCUUUACCUUGUACAGUGUAUGUGUCAUGUUUUAUAAUUUUGGACCUAAUGUGUCGGCUUGUUCUGUAAGGCGUUUUGCUUAUUUCAGAAUUCAGCUCAUUGCUUAUCACAGAUAGGAUUUAUGUUAUAAGUAGUUUAUUUCAAGAAUUAUUUUUUCUGAUAAGAAAAAAGAGGAUCUUUUGGAAAAUAGUUGAUUAUGAUAGAAAUUAAGUGUCUUAAAAUUCAUUUUUCAGAAUUUCAUUGUGCACCCUCAAUAAUGUAUUCCAAUAUAUAGACCACAGUGCUGUAGACAACCUUUUUAAAGACCAAAGUGGUUGGUUUCUUAAAUUGUUUUUCAUGACUAGAUAGUUUUUGACAUAAAUUUUUAUUACCACUCUCUGGGAUUUUUUCCUGUACGAUUAUAAAACCUUGACCAUCAUAUAUCUUGGAAAUAAAGUCUGGUAAAGAAGAAAGACUUUUUUUAAAUGAUAUAGAAAGCCACUUCACAUAAUAACAAGGUUGUAAAUUAAGCCGCUGUAUUGUGUAGGUAGCAAAUUGUUCAGUUGUAAUGAGUCUACACGUUUCCUUUAUUGGUGCAAUUUGUCAAUAAAAGGUAUUUUAUAUUAAA
Molecule: long non-coding RNA, 4379 nt
Organism: Pecten maximus
Lineage: Eukaryota; Metazoa; Mollusca; Bivalvia; Pectinida; Pectinidae
Exons: 4
Source: RefSeq, a predicted model, not a curated record